RNAcentral lists this ribosomal RNA (494 nucleotides) under uncultured bacterium. RNAcentral's name for it is "partial 16S ribosomal RNA". It matches the Rfam family "Bacterial small subunit ribosomal RNA", at positions 28 to 507 of the family's 1533-position model. The record is from RNAcentral.
GACGAACGCUGGCGGCGUGCUUAACACAUGCAAGUCGAACGGUGAAGCGCCUUCCUUUUUGGUGGGUGUGGAUGAGUGGCGAACGGGUGAGUAACACGUGAGUAACCUGCCCCCUUCUUCUGGAUAACCGCAUGAAAGUGUGGCUAAUACGGGAUAUUCUGGGUCUGUCGCAUGAUGGGUCUGGGAAAGAUAUUGUUUCGGUGGGGGAUGGGCUCGCGGCCUAUCAGCUUGUUGGUGGGGUGAUGGCCUACCAAGGCGGUGACGGGUAGCCGGCCUGAGAGGGUGGACGGGCACACUGGGACUGAGACACGGCCCAGACUCCUACGGGAGGCAGCAGUGGGGAAUAUUGAACGGUGGGCGGAAGCCUGCUGCAGCGACGCCGCGUGAGAGAUGGAGGCCUUCGGGUUGUGAACCUCUUUCGCCAGAGAAGCAGGCCUGCCUAGUAUGUGGGUGGGUUGACGGUAGCUGGAUAAGAAGCGCCGGCUAACUACGUG